UCGAGAAUCUUCGGCAAUGGGCGCAAGCCUGACCGAGCGACGCCGCGUGGAGGACGAAGGCCUUCGGGUUGUAAACUCCUGUCGAGGGGGAAGAAGGCCGGGUAACCGGCUUGACUUAUCCCUGGAGGAAGCACGGGCUAAGUUCGUGCCAGCAGCCGCGGUAAGACGAACCGUGCGAACGUUAUUCGGAAUCACUGGGCUUAAAGCGCGUGUAGGCGGAACGGCACGUCGGUCGCUGAAAUCCCCCGGCUCAACCGGGGAACGGGCACCGAUACGACCGUUCUCGAGGGACGUAGGGGGACCUGGAACUUCCGGUGGAGCGGUGAAAUGCGUUGAGAUCGGAAGGAACGCCCGUGGCGAAAGCGAGGUCCUGGACGUUUUCUGACGCUGAGACGCGAAAGCCAGGGGAGCGAACGGG
This 418-nucleotide ribosomal RNA is filed under the name uncultured Isosphaeraceae bacterium. RNAcentral describes it as "bacterial SSU rRNA". It matches the Rfam family "Bacterial small subunit ribosomal RNA", at positions 355 to 776 of the family's 1533-position model. The record is from RNAcentral. Lineage: Bacteria; Pseudomonadati; Planctomycetota; Planctomycetia; Isosphaerales; Isosphaeraceae.